RNAcentral lists this ribosomal RNA (578 nucleotides) under uncultured bacterium. RNAcentral describes it as "bacterial SSU rRNA". It matches the Rfam family "Bacterial small subunit ribosomal RNA", at positions 28 to 638 of the family's 1533-position model. The record is from RNAcentral.
AAUCAACGCUGGCGGCGUGCCUAACACAUGCAAGUCGAACGAGAAAGUGGAGCAAUCCAUGAGUAAAGUGGCGACCGGGUGAGUAACACGUGACUAACCUACCUUCGAGUGGGGGAUAACCUCGGGAAACCGGGGCUAAUACCGCAUAAUAUCCACGGAUCAAAGGAGCAAUUCGCUUGAAGAGGGGGUCGCGGCUGAUUAGUUAGUUGGCGGGGUAAUGGCCCACCAAGACAAUGAUCGGUAGCCGGCCUGAGAGGGCGCACGGCCACACUGGAACUGAAACACGGUCCAGACUCCUACGGGAGGCAGCAGUGGGGAAUUUUGCGCAAUGGGGGAAACCCUGACGCAGCAACGCCGCGUGGAGGAUGAAGUCCCUUGGGACGUAAACUCCUUUCGACUGGGAAGAUAAUGACGGUACCAGUGGAAGAAGCCCCGGCUAACUUCGUGCCAGCAGCCGCGGUAAUACGAGGGGGGCAAGCGUUGUUCGGAAUUAUUGGGCGUAAAGGGCGCGUAGGCGGUGCGGUAAGUCACCUGUGAAAUCUCCGGGCUCAACUCGGAGCCUGCAGGCGAUACUGCCG